UAUGAAGAACGCAGCGAAAUGCGAUAAGUAAUGUGAAUUGCAGAAUUCAGUGAAUCAUCGAAUCUUUGAACGCACAUUGCGCCCGCCAGUAUUCUGGCGGGCAUGCCUGUUCGAGCGUCAUUUCAACCAUCAAGCCCCCGGCUUGUGUUGGGGACCUGCGGCUGCCGCAGGCCCUGAAAAGCAGUGGCGGGCUCGCUGUCACACCGAGCGUAGUAGAUUUCAUCUCGCUCAGGGCGUGCUGCGGGUUCCGGCCGUUAAACCACCUUCAUAACCCAAGGUUGACCUCGGAUCAGGUAGGAAGACCCGCUGAACUUAAGCAUAUCAAUAAGCGGAGGA
RNAcentral lists this unclassified non-coding RNA (336 nucleotides) under soil metagenome. RNAcentral's name for it is "partial contains 5.8S ribosomal RNA, internal transcribed spacer 2, and large subunit ribosomal RNA". The stretch from base 2 to 120 matches the Rfam family "5.8S ribosomal RNA", at positions 36 to 154 of the family's 154-position model. The record is from RNAcentral.